RNAcentral lists this transfer RNA (71 nucleotides) under Loxodonta africana (African savanna elephant). It matches the Rfam family "tRNA". From Rfam's summary of the family: Transfer RNA (tRNA) molecules are approximately 80 nucleotides in length. Their secondary structure includes four short double-helical elements and three loops (D, anti-codon, and T loops). The record is from Rfam by way of RNAcentral. Lineage: Eukaryota; Metazoa; Chordata; Mammalia; Proboscidea; Elephantidae.
GUAGUGGUGGUUCGGUGGGAGAAUUCUGCCCUUCCAUCCUGGAAACCCAGGUUCAAUUCCUGGCCAAUGCA